UACGGGAGGCAGCAGUGGGGAAUAUUGCACAAUGGGCGCAAGCCUGAUGCAGCCAUGCCGCGUGUAUGAAGAAGGCCUUCGGGUUGUAAAGUACUUUCAGUCGUGAGGAAGGUGUUAAGGUUAAUAACCUUAGCAAUUGACGUUAGCGACAGAAGAAGCACCGGCUAACUCCGUGCCAGCAGCCGCGGUAAUACGGAGGGUGCGAGCGUUAAUCGGAAUUACUGGGCGUAAAGGGCACGCAGGCGGUUAAUUAAGUUGGAUGUGAAAUCCCCGGGCUUAACCUGGGAACGGCAUUCAAGACUGGUUAGCUAGAGUCUUGUAGAGGGGGUAGAAUUCCAUGUGUAGCGGUGAAAUGCGUAGAGAUGUGGAGGAAUACCGGUGGCGAAGGCGGCCCCGUGGACAAAGACUGACGCUCAUGUGCGAAAGCGUGGGGAGCAAACAGGGAUUAGAUACC
RNAcentral lists this ribosomal RNA (454 nucleotides) under uncultured bacterium. Its description in RNAcentral is "bacterial SSU rRNA". It matches the Rfam family "Bacterial small subunit ribosomal RNA", at positions 340 to 786 of the family's 1533-position model. The record is from RNAcentral.